Molecule: ribosomal RNA, 440 nt
Filed under: uncultured bacterium
Lineage: Bacteria
Description: partial 16S ribosomal RNA
Rfam family: Bacterial small subunit ribosomal RNA
Source: RNAcentral
CCUACGGGAGGCAGCAGUGGGGAAUAUUGCACAAUGGGGGAAACCCUGAUGCAGCGACGCCGCGUGAGUGAGGAAGUAUUUCGGUAUGUAAAGCUCUAUCAGCAGGGAAGAAAAUGACGGUACCUGACUAAGAAGCCCCGGCUAACUACGUGCCAGCAGCCGCGGUAAUACGUAGGGGGCAAGCGUUAUCCGGAUUUACUGGGUGUAAAGGGAGCGUAGACGGUUAAUCAAGUCAGAAGUGAAAACCCAGGGCUCAACCUUGGGACUGCUUUUGAAACUGAGUAGCUAGAGUGCAGGAGAGGUAAGCGGAAUUCCUAGUGUAGCGGUGAAAUGCGUAGAUAUUAGGAGGAACCCCGAUUGCGAAGGCAGCCUGCCGCAGCGUUACUGACGCUGAAGCUCGAAAGCGCGGGUAUCGAACAGGAUUAGAUACCCUUGUAGUC